Molecule: transfer RNA, 68 nt
Filed under: Marmota monax (woodchuck)
Lineage: Eukaryota; Metazoa; Chordata; Mammalia; Rodentia; Sciuridae
Description: tRNA.Undet
Source: RNAcentral
GGAUUAUGGCUCAGUGGUAGAGCGCUCGCUUUAGCACGGGCAGAACCUGGGUUCGAUCCUCAGCACCA